This 253-nucleotide ribosomal RNA is filed under the name uncultured bacterium. Its description in RNAcentral is "partial 16S ribosomal RNA". It matches the Rfam family "Bacterial small subunit ribosomal RNA", at positions 524 to 776 of the family's 1533-position model. The record is from RNAcentral.
UACGGGGGGGGUAAGCGUUGUUCGGAAUUACUGGGCGUAAAGGGUCUGUAGGUGGCUUGCUAAGUCAGACGUGAAAUCCCUCAGCUUAACUGGGGAACUGCGUCUGAGACUGGCGAGCUUGAGUGCAGGAGAGGAACGCGGAAUUCCAGGUGUAGCGGUGAAAUGCGUAGAUAUCUGGAGGAACACCGGUGGCGAAGGCGGGUCUCUGGGCAGUAACUGACGCUGAGGAGCGAAAGCGUGGGGAGCGAACAGG